Long non-coding RNA from Thamnophis elegans (Western terrestrial garter snake), 230 nucleotides. RefSeq lists it as uncharacterized. The record is from RefSeq and is a predicted model, not a curated record. The transcript has 3 exons. Lineage: Eukaryota; Metazoa; Chordata; Lepidosauria; Squamata; Natricidae.
GCCCAUUGUGUCUCUUAAAUAUGGAUGGACUUCCACAGAUUAGAAACACAACUGUUGUGAAUCUGCCCUCGAAGGUCACUUCAUCCAGCAUAGGUUCUGUGCAUUAGCUGAAGCUCCGUGAUGGAGGAGGAAGACACCGGGCAGACAAUUUUGGCUCCUGUUGCAACUGAAGGAAAAUCUGUACCAGGACUUCUCUUUGCAUUGUUUAUAUUCCUCGCAGGUAAGUUGAC